This 459-nucleotide ribosomal RNA is filed under the name uncultured bacterium. RNAcentral's name for it is "partial 16S ribosomal RNA". It matches the Rfam family "Bacterial small subunit ribosomal RNA", at positions 338 to 795 of the family's 1533-position model. The record is from RNAcentral.
CCUACGGGAGGCAGCAGUGAGGAAUAUUGGUCAAUGGACGAGAGUCUGAACCAGCCAAGUAGCGUGAAGGAUGACUGCCCUAUGGGUUGUAAACUUCUUUUAUAUGGGAAUAAAAUGUUCCACGUGUGGGAUUUUGUAUGUACCAUAUGAAUAAGGAUCGGCUAACUCCGUGCCAGCAGCCGCGGUAAUACGGAGGAUCCGAGCGUUAUCCGGAUUUAUUGGGUUUAAAGGGAGCGUAGGUGGAUUGUUAAGUCAGUUGUGAAAGUUUGCGGCUCAACCGUAACAUUGCAGUUGAAACUGGCAGUCUUGAGUACAGUAGAGGUGGGCGGAAGUCGGGGUGUAGCGGUGAAAUGCUUGGAUAUCAAGAAGAACUCCGAUUGCGAAGGCAGUUCACUGGACUGCAACUGACACUGAGGCUCGAAAGUGUGGGUAUCAAACAGGAUUAGAUACCCUAGAGUC